Felis catus (domestic cat) is the source of this 1269-nucleotide long non-coding RNA. RefSeq lists it as uncharacterized. NCBI's taxonomy places the organism in Eukaryota, Metazoa, Chordata, Mammalia, Carnivora, Felidae. The record is from RefSeq and is a predicted model, not a curated record. The transcript has 3 exons.
UCCGUCUCGCAGUCGUUCCCCCUCAUACCAGCCUGCAAACAGGAACAGAGUCUUCAUGAAGCAAUGAGUGUCUGGAUGAAUCUGGACCCUGCCUGGCUCUGAGGAGGGUGUACCCCAGCUUGUGCAUGACGUGAUGGAAGACUGUCAGUAUGGAGAAGGCUUAAACGUGUAACUCCUGCCCACUAACAACUGCUGAAAAUCGAAGAGGUUUACAGUACAAGCAGAGCUUUCAAUCCUUCAGUGUGAAGGAGCAGAGAGGGAAGCAAACAAACACAAAAUCCAGCACAGUAUGCACUGGGCUGUGGCGGAACAUUCUGCUUAAAACACAUGGCACCCAGGAAGAGAAAGAAGACUGAGAAGAGACGUUCCACAUAAAUAUCUGCAAGUAGAGUCCUUUCCUAAGACCCGUGUUCUUCAUGCACAGCAUAAAAUUAAGCACCUGCAGUUCCCUACUCAGGAGUCAGAUGUGGUAGCACCAUGGCCUGCCUCUCAUACAAUUAAGCACAGUAGGCUUAAACUUAAUUGCAUAAAGGUCGAAGUCACAAAGCUGGAUUUCUCAUUGAAUGCCAGGCAUCUGCUAGAAAAGACAGAUACGUACUGGGAAAAAUGGGAGAGCAGGCUUUGAAACAAAGAGGCAGGGCUGCAGAACAGACAGGGGCUGUUGAACCUUCUCUGUGUCCCUCUUACAGUGGCAGCUGGCCAGAUACGUUUUGUGUUUCUUGUCACAGCCUACAAAUUUACCUGGGGUUCCUUUUGAAACUCCUACACCCAAGGCCUUUGGGGGGAAGUCCUUCAAGCCUUUGUAAAGAGCAGGUUUGUGAGGAUGGUUGUUUUUGUUCGUUCCCUCACACACUCAGUUCAACCAGAUGAGUUCUGAUCCAUGAAAGAAAACCCACAGGGUAAAAAAAUGUCAUCAUGAAUGCUGUGCAUCAAAAUCUUACAAAGCUGGACACAUGUUCACAACUUACCUAAUUUAAAAAAUCUAACCAAAGCAAUUCUCUUAGCCCACUAAGAGGGUUCUAAAAUUCAGAUUUUGUGACGUUAUAUAAUUAAGCCAAUUAUUUCUUGAAUUAUCUGUUUCCUCGAUGAUAUGAGACCCAUAUCAUCACCUGCCCUCCUGUUGAAGUAGGGCUGGUGAUGACGAUCACAGAAGAUCAUGUGCUUUGAGGGGCACUAUGCAGUGUAAGAGAUCAUUCCUGGAUGUGGAUUCCAGAUUCAACGAGGGGAAAAAUACUACAACCUAUGAUAAAUACAUUUUUUGCACAUAAA